Long non-coding RNA from Psammomys obesus (fat sand rat), 194 nucleotides. RefSeq lists it as uncharacterized. Lineage: Eukaryota; Metazoa; Chordata; Mammalia; Rodentia; Muridae. The record is from RefSeq and is a predicted model, not a curated record. The transcript is spliced from 3 exons.
UUGAGGCAGCAUGAUGAAGGUCAUCCACUCUGUAGAGCCAGUUGUCUGCAGCAGCUGUCUGCCAAGCCAGAGAGGAGGGGAACGGGAACAGAGAAAGGCUGAUUUACAGGGACACUCAGAGCUUUGAAGGCUGACUCCUACCUUGGCCUUGCCGGUCAUGCCCAAGAAGAAGCUGAAGGUCCGUCGCAAGGAGG